RNAcentral lists this transfer RNA (78 nucleotides) under Camelus bactrianus (Bactrian camel). It matches the Rfam family "tRNA". Rfam says of the family: Transfer RNA (tRNA) molecules are approximately 80 nucleotides in length. Their secondary structure includes four short double-helical elements and three loops (D, anti-codon, and T loops). Further hydrogen bonds mediate the characteristic L-shaped molecular structure. tRNAs have two regions of fundamental functional importance: the anti-codon, which is responsible for specific mRNA codon recognition, and the 3' end, to which the tRNAs corresponding amino acid is attached (by aminoacyl-tRNA synthetases). tRNAs cope with the degeneracy of the genetic code in two manners: having more than one tRNA (with a specific anti-codon) for a particular amino acid; and 'wobble' base-pairing, i.e. permitting non-standard base-pairing at the 3rd anti-codon position. Lineage: Eukaryota; Metazoa; Chordata; Mammalia; Artiodactyla; Camelidae. The record is from Rfam by way of RNAcentral. RNAcentral also lists the same sequence under 2 other names.
GGGGGCAUAACUGAGUGGUAGAGCUCCUGCUUGGCAUGCAGGUGCAGGAGGGCCUGGGUUCAAUCCCCAGUGCCUCCA